This 236-nucleotide ribosomal RNA is filed under the name Centrocoris variegatus. RNAcentral's name for it is "partial small subunit ribosomal RNA". It matches the Rfam family "Eukaryotic small subunit ribosomal RNA", at positions 1023 to 1255 of the family's 1831-position model. The record is from RNAcentral. Lineage: Eukaryota; Metazoa; Arthropoda; Insecta; Hemiptera; Coreidae.
GUUCUAACCAUAAACGAUGCCAGCCAGCGAUCCGCCGAUGUUCCUCCGAUGACUCGGCGGGGAGCUUUCCCCGGGAAACCAAAGCUUUUGGGUUCCGGGGGAAGUAUGGUUGCAAAGCUGAAACUUAAAGGAAUUGACGGAAGGGCACCACCAGGAGUGGAGCCUGCGGCUUAAUUUGACUCAACACGGGAAACCUCACCAGGCCCGGACAUUGGAAGGAUUGACAGAUCGAUAGC